This 253-nucleotide ribosomal RNA is filed under the name uncultured bacterium. Its description in RNAcentral is "partial 16S ribosomal RNA". It matches the Rfam family "Bacterial small subunit ribosomal RNA", at positions 524 to 776 of the family's 1533-position model. The record is from RNAcentral.
UACGUAGGGGGCAAGCGUUGUCCGGAAUCAUUGGGCGUAAAGAGCGCGUAGGCGGUCCGGUAAGUCCGCUCUGAAAGCCCGGGGCUCAACCCCGGGAGGCGGGCGGAUACUGCCGGGCUAGAGUCCGGAAGAGGCGAGUGGAAUUCCUGGUGUAGCGGUGAAAUGCGCAGAUAUCAGGAAGAACACCCGUGGCGAAAGCGGCUCUCUGGGACGGUACUGACGCUGAGACGCGAAAGCGUGGGGAGCGAACAGG